Molecule: long non-coding RNA, 180 nt
Organism: Chenopodium quinoa (quinoa)
Lineage: Eukaryota; Viridiplantae; Streptophyta; Magnoliopsida; Caryophyllales; Amaranthaceae
Exons: 3
Source: RefSeq, a predicted model, not a curated record
AGAAUUCGGGGAAGAUUAAUGAGUGUGCUGAAUUCUUAAUUAUGCGGAAGUGAAUUCCACAAGUUGCUCGAGGUUCUAGUUGUGGACAAACGAUUAAGGCGGUAGUACGCAUACGAGAUUGUCUUCACUUGUGAUACCCGUUCAGGGCUUACUCAUUAGGAGUAAGUCUUGAAUAGUCCC